Molecule: ribosomal RNA, 324 nt
Filed under: Triticum aestivum (bread wheat)
Lineage: Eukaryota; Viridiplantae; Streptophyta; Magnoliopsida; Poales; Poaceae
Description: partial small subunit ribosomal RNA
Source: RNAcentral
AUGUCUUCCUCCGGCGCUUCCCAGACCAACCUCAGCGGCCAAGUCACGGAGAAGCUGACCCGCACCAACUAUGUCCUCUGGCGCGCGCAGGUGACGCCGCAGCUCAGGGGCGCGGGAGUCUUAGGAUACGCCGACGGCACAACACCGGAGCCGGCCAAGUUCCUCACCACCAAAGAUAAGGAUGGGAAGGAAACCUCUGCGCCCAACCCUCUCCACCCUUUCUGGGUCCUGGAGGACCAGCAGGUGCUGGGCUAUCUCCUCAGCACCCUCACCAAGGAGGUCCUGCUGCAGGUGACCACGAUCACCACGGGGAGCACGCUCUAG